UGAUGUGUUUGUACCACUUGGUGGGAUC
RNAcentral lists this small RNA (28 nucleotides) under Bombyx mori (domestic silkworm). Its description in RNAcentral is "ovarian small RNA-32953". Lineage: Eukaryota; Metazoa; Arthropoda; Insecta; Lepidoptera; Bombycidae. The record is from RNAcentral.